This 304-nucleotide signal recognition particle RNA is filed under the name Aeropyrum pernix K1. The stretch from base 56 to 282 matches the Rfam family "Archaeal signal recognition particle RNA", at positions 68 to 306 of the family's 317-position model. Lineage: Archaea; Thermoproteati; Thermoproteota; Thermoprotei; Acidilobales; Acidilobaceae. The record is from RNAcentral.
CGCCCCCAGCCAUGGGGGCCCCGAAGGCGCCACGCGGGGGCCAGAAGAACCCGCCCCCAGAGCUUGAAGCAGGCCAGCAAGGGCCUGCAGGGUACAAUGAACCCCGUCCCGCGGGGCCGGCGGAGGCGGGCGGCCAGCCGGAGGGCCGGCCGAAGCCGCCGUAGCCGGGGCCACCCGGCGAGGCCCGGAAGGGAGCAGCCGACCCCGGCCGACCGGCGUUCGCGGGGGGAACGGGGGGAGAAGCCCUGCAGGGUAACCCUCUGGCCUGCUUCAAACUCUGGGAGCGGGGGCUCGGGGGCGGGCC